GUGGGGAAUCUUGCGCAAUGGGCGAAAGCCUGACGCAGCCAUGCCGCGUGGAUGAUGAAGGUCUUAGGAUUGUAAAAUCCUUUCACCGGUGAAGAUAAUGACUGUAGCCGGAGAAGAAGCACCGGCUAACUUCGUGCCAGCAGCCGCGGUAAUACGAAGGGGGCUAGCGUUGCUCGGAACUACUGGGCGUAAAGGGAGCGUAGGCGGACAUUUAAGUCAGGGGUGAAAUCCCGUGGCUCAACCUCGGAACUGCCUUUGAUACUGGGUGUCUUGAGUGUGAGAGAGUUGAGUGGAACUCCGAGGGUAGGGGUGAAUUUGGUAGAUAUUCGGAAGAACACCAGUGGCGAAGGCGACUCACUGGCUCAUUACUGACGCUGGGGCUCGAAAGCGUGGGGAGCAAACAGGAUUAGAUACCCGGGUAGUCC
RNAcentral lists this ribosomal RNA (425 nucleotides) under uncultured bacterium. RNAcentral's name for it is "partial 16S ribosomal RNA". It matches the Rfam family "Bacterial small subunit ribosomal RNA", at positions 354 to 796 of the family's 1533-position model. The record is from RNAcentral.